This 591-nucleotide long non-coding RNA is filed under the name Homo sapiens (human). RNAcentral describes it as "long non-coding RNA NONHSAT211676.1". The record is from RNAcentral. Lineage: Eukaryota; Metazoa; Chordata; Mammalia; Primates; Hominidae.
UAACAUUUGCUGGAUAAUGCUUUAGAGGGGCUUCACUGGGCAGGGUUUGGACUGGUCCAUCAGGGAAGGGCAUGGUCUUCCAUCACCUUGAAAGGGCUGGGUCACUGUUCGUCUUCGGAUCAUUUUUCCUUGAAGAGAUACAAAGUGAUGCACCUUUAAUAUAUGUUAUGGUUUUGCAAGCAUAUAUCUCAUUGGGAGAAGGCAUCACAGUGAUAUCUCCUGAGGCAAUCCAGGAACAAGUCUAUUGAGGCUCCUACUUAUCUUGGUUGGUAUUUGACCCAGUGGACCUCAGAUGCAUGGAGAGUCAACAUUUGUCAUGUUUUUGGGCUCUACCUGGACCUGCCAACCCAGUUCCUGUGCGCCCCUCAGAAGAAUUCAGCCUGCAGGAGGACAGCUUUGACCCCUGUGAUUUCAUCUCUGCCCCAACCAAUCAGCAGCAAGCACCCAUUCCCUGGCAGUCCCACCCCUUCCCCCAAACUGCCUUUGAAAAACCCCUACCUAGGAGCCUUAGACAAUAUUGAUUUGAGUACUAACUCCAUCUUCCAUGUGGCAUGGCUGGCCUUAUGUCUAUUAAACUCUUUCUUUACUGCA